UCUUCUAAACUCUACCUACCUGCUCUCUGGACCCUGCACCCCGGAUGUCCCACAGCACCUCACGUUGGGGCUAGUGGAGCACAGCCAGGGGAGGACAGGAGGAGGGUAUUCUCUGGAGACAGGUGUGCCCCCCUACUGACAGACCCUGCUCAGCAGAACAGAAGCCCUUCAGCGAAUGAGACCUACCCUCUGCGGAAGGCUGGUUAGGAAGCAUCCAUGUCUACUUCAGCGUCUCACCUCCCUGUCACAAACAGAUCACCACAGUUUUCCUCCAGCCUCAUGCUGUCCUCCCCCUAGAGGAAUGUGGGUACAUGGAAUGUUCUCCACCUCCAUGCAUGUCCAGUGACGUUUUGGAUCAGCGUGUCAGGGACGCUGUCAGGCGUGCCUGCUUGCACUCAUCCAGCCCUGGCUGGAUGUGAUUCUACGAGCAGAGCAAGACCAGCAUGUUCUGUCCUCCAGUUAUCACAGCAGUUACUCUGGCAACCUGCAGGCCCUCCCUGAGGUGUCUGACGGCUGAAGCAGGGUCCAGUGGGAUGGAAUGAAGGAUGGGCACCCUGGAAGACAGCCCAUGGAGGGGCCCUUUGGGUCCCCUGCUGCCCUGGGCACCUGCGAAGAGAGAAGCUGAGCCACCCUGCCUGAGGCAGUAGGCAGUAAGAGCUGAAGGGAGCAGGAGGUUAGGGCCCAGCGGGAAGUGAGAGCAGUGGGGCCAGCACCAGGGUAAGCUGAAUAAAGCUCUCGCCUGAGGCGCAGAAUUUAAAGAUUUGCCAAAAAACUCAGCAGCCAAGAAAUUUAAUACUUCCAGCAAAUCAAAGCAAAACUGUCCAUGAUAAACAAGACUGGAGUUAGGGUAAGGCAAGUGAGGCCAAUACAAGGCCCGCAAAUCCAGUGUUGUAUCUUGUCUUUAUUAAAGGUUUGAUUUUGUUGUA
Molecule: long non-coding RNA, 926 nt
Organism: Homo sapiens (human)
Lineage: Eukaryota; Metazoa; Chordata; Mammalia; Primates; Hominidae
Exons: 2
Source: RefSeq, a predicted model, not a curated record